GACGAACGCUGGCGGCGUGCCUAAUACAUGCAAGUAGAACGCUGAAGGAGGAGCUUGCUCUUCUGGAUGAGUUGCGAACGGGUGAGUAACGCGUAGGUAACCUGCCUGGUAGCGGGGGAUAACUAUUGGAAACGAUAGCUAAUACCGCAUAACAGUAGAUGUUGCAUGACAUUUACUUAAAAGGUGCAAUUGCAUCACUACCAGAUGGACCUGCGUUGUAUUAGCUAGUUGGUGGGGUAACGGCUCACCAAGGCGACGAUACAUAGCCGACCUGAGAGGGUGAUCGGCCACACUGGGACUGAGACACGGCCCAGACUCCUACGGGAGGCAGCAGUAGGGAAUCUUCGGCAAUGGACGGAAGUCUGACCGAGCAACGCCGCGUGAGUGAAGAAGGUUUUCGGAUCGUAAAGCUCUGUUGUAAGAGAAGAACGAGUGUGAGAGUGGAAAGUUCACACUGUGACGGUAUCUUACCAGAAAGGGACGGCUAACUACGUA
RNAcentral lists this ribosomal RNA (495 nucleotides) under uncultured bacterium. RNAcentral describes it as "partial 16S ribosomal RNA". It matches the Rfam family "Bacterial small subunit ribosomal RNA", at positions 28 to 507 of the family's 1533-position model. The record is from RNAcentral.